CUAGUGGCGGACGGGUGAGUAACGCGUGGGUAACCUGCCUUAUACAGGGGGAUAACAACCAGAAAUGGUUGCUAAUACCGCAUAAGCGCACAGGACCGCAUGGUCCGGUGUGGAAAACUCCGGUGGUAUAAGAUGGACCCGCGUUGGAUUAGCUAGUUGGCAGGGUAACGGCCUACCAAGGCGACGAUCCAUAGCCGGCCUGAGAGGGUGAACGGCCACAUUGGGACUGAGACACGGCCCAGACUCCUACGGGAGGCAGCAUG
This 263-nucleotide ribosomal RNA is filed under the name uncultured bacterium. RNAcentral describes it as "partial 16S ribosomal RNA". It matches the Rfam family "Bacterial small subunit ribosomal RNA", at positions 92 to 353 of the family's 1533-position model. The record is from RNAcentral.